RNAcentral lists this ribosomal RNA (496 nucleotides) under uncultured bacterium. Its description in RNAcentral is "bacterial SSU rRNA". It matches the Rfam family "Bacterial small subunit ribosomal RNA", at positions 903 to 1397 of the family's 1533-position model. The record is from RNAcentral.
AAAUGAAUUGACGGGGACCCGCACAAGCAGAGGAGCAUGCGGUUUAAUUCGUCAGUACGCGAAAAACCUUACCAAGACUUGACAUUGGAUGCAUAGCAUGGAAACAUGUGAAAUUAUAGCAAUAUAACAUCUAAACAGAUGGUGCAUGGUCGUCGUCAGCUCGUGUCGUGAGAUGUUGGGUUAAGUCCCGCAACGAGCGCAACCCUUGCCUUUAGUUGCCAUCAUUAAGUUGGGCACUCUAGAGGGACUGCCGUGGAUAACACGGAGGAAGGUGGGGAUGAUGUCAGAUCAUCAUGCCUCUUACGUCUUGGGCUACACGCGUGCUACAAUGGCCACUACAAAGAGAUGCUAACCCGCGAGGGGGCGCCAACCUCAAAAAAGUGGCCUCAGUUCGGAUUGUAGUCUGCAACCCGACUACAUGAAGUAGGAUUUGCUAGUAAUCGCGGAUCAUCACGCCGCGGUGAAUGCGUUCUCGGGUCUUGUACACACCGCCCGU